This 589-nucleotide ribosomal RNA is filed under the name uncultured bacterium. RNAcentral's name for it is "bacterial SSU rRNA". It matches the Rfam family "Bacterial small subunit ribosomal RNA", at positions 338 to 944 of the family's 1533-position model. The record is from RNAcentral.
CCUACGGGAGGCAGCAGUGGGGAAUAUUGGACAAUGGGCGAAAGCCUGAUCCAGCAAUGCCGCGUGAGUGAUGAAGGCCUUCGGGUCGUAAAGCUCUUUUACCAGGGAUGAUAAUGACAGUACCUGGAGAAUAAGCUCCGGCUAACUCCGUGCCAGCAGCCGCGGUAAUACGGAGGGAGCUAGCGUUGUUCGGAAUUACUGGGCGUAAAGAGUACGUAGGCGGUUAUUCAAGUCAGAGGUGAAAGCCCGGGGCUCAACCCCGGAACUGCCUUUGAAACUAGAUAACUAGAGUCUUGGAGAGGUUAGUGGAAUUCCGAGUGUAGAGGUGAAAUUCGUAGAUAUUCGGAAGAACACCAGUGGCGAAGGCGACUAACUGGACAAGUACUGACGCUGAGGUACGAAAGCGUGGGGAGCAAACAGGAUUAGAUACCCUGGUAGUCCACGCCGUAAACGAUGAUAACUAGUUGUUCGGUCACUUGGUGACUGAGUGACGCAGCUAACGCAUUAAGUUAUCCGCCUGGGGAGUACGGUCGCAAGNUUAAAACUCAAAUGAUAGAGCGUGAGAGUUGCGAGACGACACGAGGAGAGG